UACGUAGGGGGCAAGCGUUGUCCGGAUUUAUUGGGCGUAAAGAGCUCGUAGGCGGCUUGUCGCGUUGUUCGUGAAAAUUUACCGCUCAACGGUGAACUUGCGGGCGAUACGGGCAGGCUAGAGUACUGCAGGGGAGACUGGAAUUCCUGGUGUAGCGGUGAAAUGCGCAGAUAUCAGGAGGAACACCGGUGGCGAAGGCGGGUCUCUGGGCAGUAACUGACGCUGAGGAGCGAAAGCGUGGGGAGCAAACAGG
RNAcentral lists this ribosomal RNA (253 nucleotides) under uncultured bacterium. RNAcentral describes it as "partial 16S ribosomal RNA". It matches the Rfam family "Bacterial small subunit ribosomal RNA", at positions 524 to 776 of the family's 1533-position model. The record is from RNAcentral.